CCUACGGGAGGCAGCAGUGGGGAAUAUUGGACAAUGGGCGAAAGCCUGAUCCAGCAAUGCCGCGUGAGUGAUGAAGGCCUUCGGGUCGUAAAGCUCUUUUACCAGGGAUGAUAAUGACAGUACCUGGAGAAUAAGCUCCGGCUAACUCCGUGCCAGCAGCCGCGGUAAUACGGAGGGAGCUAGCGUUGUUCGGAAUUACUGGGCGUAAAGAGUACGUAGGCGGUUAUUCAAGUCAGAGGUGAAAGCCCGGGGCUCAACCCCGGAACUGCCUUUGAAACUAGAUAGCUAGAGUCUUGGAGAGGUUAGUGGAAUUCCGAGUGUAGAGGUGAAAUUCGUAGAUAUUCGGAAGAACACCAGUGGCGAAGGCGACUAACUGGACAAGUACUGACGCUGAGGUACGAAAGCGUGGGGAGCAAACAGGAUUAGAUACCCUGGUAGUCCACGCCGUAAACGAUGAUAACUAGUUGUUCGGUCACUUGGUGACUGAGUGACGCAGCUAACGCAUUAAGUUAUCCGCCUGGGGAUACGGUCGCAAGAUUAAAACUUAAAGGAAUUGACGGCUGNGAGNGCGAGACGACACGAGGAGAG
RNAcentral lists this ribosomal RNA (588 nucleotides) under uncultured bacterium. RNAcentral's name for it is "bacterial SSU rRNA". It matches the Rfam family "Bacterial small subunit ribosomal RNA", at positions 338 to 948 of the family's 1533-position model. The record is from RNAcentral.